This 267-nucleotide long non-coding RNA is filed under the name Panax ginseng (ginseng). RNAcentral describes it as "long non-coding RNA (PGIN_LNC011503)". Lineage: Eukaryota; Viridiplantae; Streptophyta; Magnoliopsida; Apiales; Araliaceae. The record is from RNAcentral.
CAGCAUACCCACCGCCUUAUGCAGCACCGUAUUCGUCGGCGGCGAGUACCGGAUAUUAUCCGCCACCGGCAGGCGGGUAUCCACCAUCCGCCUACCCACCUUCAGGAUACCCGCAGCCUGCUCCUACUGCGACGGGUUAUGGAUACCCACCAGCACAAGCAUACAGCGGUUACCCACCACCACCGCCUCAUGGAUAUGGGUACCCGCACCAACAGGGAUAUGGGUACCAGCCCCAACAGGGAUAUGGGUACCCACAGGUGCAACAAC